CCUACGGGUGGCAGCAGUGGGGAAUAUUGGACAAUGGGGGCAACCCUGAUCCAGCCAUGCCGCGUGUGUGAAGAAGGCCCUCGGGUUGUAAAGCACUUUCAGUGAGGAAGAACGCCUGGUGGUUAAUACCCAUCAGGAAAGACAUCACUCACAGAAGAAGCACCGGCUAACUCCGUGCCAGCAGCCGCGGUAAUACGGAGGGUGCGAGCGUUAAUCGGAAUUACUGGGCGUAAAGCGCGCGUAGGUGGCUUGAUAAGCCGGUUGUGAAAGCCCCGGGCUCAACCUGGGAACGGCAUCCGGAACUGUCAAGCUAGAGUGCAGGAGAGGAAGGUAGAAUUCCCGGUGUAGCGGUGAAAUGCGUAGAGAUCGGGAGGAAUACCAGUGGCGAAGGCGGCCUUCUGGACUGACACUGACACUGAGGUGCGAAAUCGUGGGUAGCAAACAGGAUUAGAUACCCGGGUAGUC
This 465-nucleotide ribosomal RNA is filed under the name Vreelandella stevensii. RNAcentral's name for it is "partial 16S ribosomal RNA". It matches the Rfam family "Bacterial small subunit ribosomal RNA", at positions 338 to 795 of the family's 1533-position model. Lineage: Bacteria; Pseudomonadati; Pseudomonadota; Gammaproteobacteria; Oceanospirillales; Halomonadaceae. The record is from RNAcentral.